UGGGGAAUCUUGCACAAUGGGCGAAAGCCUGAUGCAGCGACGCCGCGUGAGCGAUGAAGGCCUUCGGGUUGUAAAGCUCUGUGGGGAGGGACGAAUAUAGGUUGGCUAAUAUCCAACCUGAUGACGGUACCUCCUUAGCAAGCACCGGCUAACUCUGUGCCAGCAGCCGCGGUAAGACAGAGGGUGCAAACGUUGUUCGGAAUUACUGGGCGUAAAGCGCGUGUAGGCGGCUACAUAAGUCGGACGUGAAAUCCCAUGGCUCAACCGUGGAAGUGCGCUCGAAAACUGUGUAGCUUUGAGUCCUGGAGAGGAAGGCGGAAUACUUGGUGUAGAGGUGAAAUUCGUAGAUAUCAGGUAGAACACCAGUGGCGAAGGCGGCUUUCUGGACAGUGACUGACGCUGAGACGCGAAAGCGUGGGGAGCAAACAGGAUUAGAUACCCUGGUAGUCCACGCCGUAAACUAUGAGUGCUAGGUGUCAGGGGU
This 484-nucleotide ribosomal RNA is filed under the name uncultured Pseudomonadota bacterium. RNAcentral's name for it is "bacterial SSU rRNA". It matches the Rfam family "Bacterial small subunit ribosomal RNA", at positions 355 to 830 of the family's 1533-position model. Lineage: Bacteria; Pseudomonadati; Pseudomonadota. The record is from RNAcentral.